Molecule: ribosomal RNA, 814 nt
Filed under: Pseudogymnoascus sp.
Lineage: Eukaryota; Fungi; Ascomycota; Leotiomycetes; Thelebolales; Thelebolaceae
Description: partial large subunit ribosomal RNA
Rfam family: Eukaryotic large subunit ribosomal RNA
Source: RNAcentral
ACGGCGAGUGAAGCGGUAACAGCUCAAAUUUGAAAUCUGGCCUCACGGUCCGAGUUGUAAUUUGUAGAGGAUGCUUCGAGCAUGGUCUGGCCUAAGUUCCUUGGAACAGGACGUCAUAGAGGGUGAGAAUCCCGUAUGCGGCCAGGUGCCUACGCUCAUGUGAAGCUCCUUCGACGAGUCGAGUUGUUUGGGAAUGCAGCUCAAAAUGGGUGGUAAAUUUCAUCUAAAGCUAAAUAUUGGCCAGAGACCGAUAGCGCACAAGUAGAGUGAUCGAAAGAUGAAAAGCACUUUGGAAAGAGAGUUAAACAGUACGUGAAAUUGUUGAAAGGGAAGCGCUUGCAACCAGACUUGCGCGCGGCCGAUCAUCCGGUGUUCUCACCGGUGCACUCGGCCGUGCUCAGGCCAGCAUCGGUUUUGGCGGCUGGAUAAAGGCCCUAGGAAUGUAGCUCCUCUCGGGGAGUGUUAUAGCCUAGGGUGCAAUGCAGCCUGCUGGGACCGAGGACCGCGCUUCGGCUAGGAUGCUGGCGUAAUGGUUGUAAGCGGCCCGUCUUGAAACACGGACCAAGGAGUCUAACAUCUAUGCGAGUGUUUGGGUGUCAAACCCAUACGCGUAAUGAAAGUGAACGGAGGUGAGAACCCUUAAGGGUGCAUCAUCGACCGGUCCUGAAGUUUACGGAAGGAUCUGAGUAAGAGCAUAGCUGUUGGGACCCGAAAGAUGGUGAACUAUGCCUGAAUAGGGUGAAGCCAGAGGAAACUCUGGUGGAGGCUCGCAGCGGUUCUGACGUGCAAAUCGAUCGUCAAAUUUGGGUAUAGG